UUCGGAUUGCAGGCUGCAACCCGCCUGUAUGAAGUUGGAAUCGCUAGUAAUCGCGGAUCAGCAUGCCGCGGUGAAUACGUUCCCGGGCCUUGUACACACCGCCCGUCACACCAUGAGAGUCGGGAACACCCGAAGUCCGUAGUCUAACAGCAAUGGGGGCGCGGCCGAAGGUGGGUUCGAUAAUUGGGGUGAAGUCGUAACAAGGUACC
This 209-nucleotide ribosomal RNA is filed under the name uncultured bacterium. RNAcentral describes it as "partial 16S ribosomal RNA". It matches the Rfam family "Bacterial small subunit ribosomal RNA", at positions 1292 to 1500 of the family's 1533-position model. The record is from RNAcentral.